UUUGACAAUUUGACACCAAGUCUUCCAAUGCUCAACAGCAGUGUUUCACUACGAUAAACCGGACAUAUAACAUCGUCUUUUCUUGCUAAAACAUCCUCCGGAGGCCGUAUGAAGUAGUACGAGCCAUCGAGCCAUCCCAUGCAGCUGGCGUGGUGGAUUCGGAAACCUUGCCAACAACAUUCCGAUGUCGCUACUCUGCCUGGGAAAUACGCACAAAUAUUACGAUUACGUUUUCAAUUUUCUCUACCGGAAAAAAUAAAAAAAUGAGGUGAUUUCCCUAGUCGAGCAGACGCAACAGUGGAGCGAACGUUACUCUACUUACUUUCCGCGGGCCGCGAAUCUAAUCAAUCAGAUAAUCUUAUCAUCAGCGGGACCCACCAGCCAAA
Molecule: small RNA, 386 nt
Filed under: Histoplasma capsulatum
Lineage: Eukaryota; Fungi; Ascomycota; Eurotiomycetes; Onygenales; Ajellomycetaceae
Also listed under: 1 other name
Description: hypothetical RNA
Source: RNAcentral